Molecule: long non-coding RNA, 2809 nt
Filed under: Homo sapiens (human)
Lineage: Eukaryota; Metazoa; Chordata; Mammalia; Primates; Hominidae
Description: non-protein coding lnc-PRIMPOL-6:1
Source: RNAcentral
GUCUGGGCGCGCGUGGCUGGCGGGUGGCCGGCGGUCGAGAGGCUGCGGCGGGCGAACGCCGCUGGAGUCGCCCAGACUGCCUCGGAUUUCAUAAUGAAUCUGAGGAAGGACAAAGGGUACAUUGGACCGCCUCAGCUCAGAGGCCCCGCGGACCCUGGGCCCCGCGAUGCCCGAGGGGCGGGCGGCGCCCUCCGGAUCCUGCACCCUCAGCCCGUGCCCCGCUGGCCUCCUGGCAGGCCGGGCAGAAUUCUGCUGCGAGGGCCCUGGAGGCAAGGGCCUUCCUCUCCGUUUUUCCUUGACACUGACGGGCGCGGCCCCACAGGGUUUCCCCCACGCUCCCUGGCCGGAAGACCUUUUCUGUCUGGUGUCUGCAGAGCCUGACGUGGGCAGCGCCCGCAGCUCGCGCCGGUGCAGGGGAGCUGAGGGCCGACUGCGCGCUGCACCACGGCGGCCACCUGCUGUGCGGUUCUGAGGGCUUCCGCGGUUCUGAGGGCUUCCGCGUCCCUGCCAUGCCCAUCUUGGGGCUUCAGAAGCCAACACGAUGGUUUUCGGGCUCACAUCCCAAAGGCUGCUCUUCCUUUUAGCACCUGGGACCUACCAGGAACCUCAACCUCUAACAACAUUGGUCCCCGUUACCGUGGAGUUUGCGCCCAGCGUUCGCUGGAGGGCCGUUUGAAGAAUGAUUGUUGUCGUAAAGGCCUUUGAUAAUAAUAGAUACUGUUUACCCAGUGCUUGAUGCCAGGCAUUGCUACAAACACUGCGUACACAUUAUUCUAUUUAAUCUUCAUAACCCAGUGAGGUAGGUACUGUCAUUACUGUCCUUUCACAGAAGAGGAAGCUGGGGCACAGAGGUUAAAUGCUAGUGAGAGCAGUACCACACUUGGCACUCAGGCUGCCCCCAGAGUGUGGGCACAACCAACGCAGGGCUAUGCCUGGGCUGCAGGCAGGGGAAACUGACCGUGGUUCGCUCCAGGCCUCAGCCACACUGCAGUUCACUCCCACAAAUAACUGAAGGACUUUCCCUGGGUGUCUCCCACAGUGUGCUGGGCGCAGUGGUGCAGUGGGGUGAGGACAACGCACACACCAGCAACCUCUCUAGCAGCUCAGUCCUUUUAGAUCUCCAUCUUCCAGAUCUAGAAAAAAUGGACUCCACGUUCGUUUUCACUGGUUCCCGCUUGGCUAAUCCCUGGUUUUUCUGUCCAGAUCUCGCCUCCCCAUCCGUGAUUUUGUCAUCUUUGCCUCUCCUUUUUCCUCUUCUCCAACCGGUCCCUCAGCCCCAGAACCUCUGCAGGCACCUCCCAAGUUCUGUGGUCUAUUGUUUUCAAGGGCUGCUGGAACGAAGUACCACACACUAAGUGGCUUCAACAACCGAAAUGUAUGGUCUGUCCUGGUUCUGGAGACUAGAAGUACAAAAUCACGGCGUGGGAGGGCUGGCUGCUUCCGAGGCCCAUGAAAGAGCAUGUGUGCCCGGCCACUCUGACUUGCAGAUGCCCAUCUUCUCCCUAUGUCUCCUCACACCAUCUUCCCUGUGGUGUGUGUGUGCAAAUCCCUUCUUUCUAUAAGGACACCAGUCAUACUGGACUAGGGCCCACCCGAAUUGCCUCAUUUUAACUUGAUGACCUCUGUAAUCAUGAGGUAAUGUCCAAGUAAGGUCCCAUUCUAAGAUACCUGAAUGCCCAGGCACGGUGGUUCAUGCCUGUAAUCCCAGCACUUUGGGAGGCCGAGGCAGGCAGAUCAACUGAGGUCAGGAGUUCAAGACCAGCCUGGCCAACAUGGUGAAACCCUGUCUCUACUAAAAAUAAAAAAAUUAGCGGGGCAUGGUGGUGCGUACCUGUAGUCCCAGCUACUCGGGAGGCUGAGGCAGAAGAAUUGUUUGAACCCAGGGAGGUGGAGGUUGCAAUGAGCCAAGAUCACGCCACUGCAUUCCAGCCUGGGAGACAGAGCAAGACUCUGUCUCAAAACAACAACAACAACAACAACAAACCCCUGAACAUAUGAACUUGGGGAAUGUGGGGGUGACAAUUCAACCCGUAACAUGUGGAUGGUCGUCACUGGCUGUCUCACCUUACGUCUUCUCCUCAAGACACUUUUCUUUUAAACUGGGUGCCUCUCCCUGGGCUCUAGCCCUUAAUGAGGUGAUUUCCAACUCAAGGCUGGGAAAGGCACACAACCCAGUAUCAGACCUGAGUUCACACUCCUUCUGGCAGGAACUUCUAGGUGACAUUGGGAAGCAACUUCAUUCCUUAGAACCUAGAUUUCUCCUCAGGCUAUAAGGGGGCUUGGCUAAAUAAUCUCUUAGGUCUCUUUCAGCACACACACUUAAAAAAAAACAAAAAAGUUUUUAUCUAAUCACUCCAAAAAGUUUUACAAUGUAUGGGGUUGUCUUGUGGACUUGAGAUAGAGACUUUGAUGGGAGGCAGUAUUGCAUAGUGGUUAAGAACACAGGCUUUGGGGUGGGUGAAUCCACAUCAAGCCUCAUUGCAUCCUCCUUAAAUCAGGAAUAAUACCUACCUCAGACAGGUGUCAUAGGAUUGACAGCCACGCCCUUGGCGUUCUCAUUAAAUGAAGAUUCCAGACUCUAUAGUUGGGAGUUUGUGACUUAGGUAAGAAACCAGUCUCUUUUUUUGAGACGGAGUCUCACUCUGUUGCCCAGGCUGGGGUGCAGUGGUGCGAUCUCGGCUCACUGCAAUCUCUACCUCCUGGGUUCAUGCCAUUUUCCUGCCUCAGCCUCCCAAGUAGCUGGGACCACAGGCACCCACCACCACACCCGGCUAGUUUUUUGUAUUUUUAGUAGAGAUGGGGUUUCAUU